Molecule: ribosomal RNA, 254 nt
Filed under: uncultured bacterium
Lineage: Bacteria
Description: partial 16S ribosomal RNA
Rfam family: Bacterial small subunit ribosomal RNA
Source: RNAcentral
UACGAAGGGUGCUAGCGUUGUUCGGAAUCACUGGGCGUAAAGGGUGCGUAGGCGGGUCUUUUAAGUCAGGGGUGAAAUCCUGGAGCUCAACUCCAGAACUGCCUUUGAUACUGAAGAUCUUGAGUUCGGGAGAGGUGAGUGGAACUGCGAGUGUAGAGGUGAAAUUCGUAGAUAUUCGCAAGAACACCAGUGGCGAAGGCGGCUCACUGGCCCGAUACUGACGCUGAGGCACGAAAGCGUGGGGAGCAAACAGG